RNAcentral lists this long non-coding RNA (3473 nucleotides) under Homo sapiens (human). RNAcentral describes it as "HSALNT0303474". Lineage: Eukaryota; Metazoa; Chordata; Mammalia; Primates; Hominidae. The record is from RNAcentral.
AGACAAGGUCUUGCUCUAUUAUCACUGGAGUACAAUGGCGUGAAUGUGGCUCACUGCAGUCUCGACCUUCCUGGCUCAAGGGAUGCUCCCACCUCAGCCUCCCAAAUAGCUGGGACUAUAGACACAUGUCACCACAUCUGGCUAAUUUUUUAUUUUUUGUAGAGAUGAGAUUUCACCAUAUUACCCAGGCUGUUCUUGAACUCCUAGGCUCAAGUGAUUUGUCUGCCUCAGCCUCCCAAAGUGUUAGGAUUACAGGUGUGAGCCACUGCACCCGGCUGCCUUUUCACUCCUAAUUGUAUCCUCUGUUGCACAGAAAUUUUUAAGUUUGAUGUAGUCCCAUAUGUCUCCUUUUUUUUCCCCAUGCUUUUUAUGAUUUCUAGCAUCUUUUUGUGGGCUUAUUGUGCUUGUAUAUCUUCUUUGGAGAAAUGUCUGUUCAAUUCCUUUGCCCUUUUUUGAAUGGGGUUGUUUGGUUUUUCUGUUGUGGAAUAUUUAAAUUUCUCUAUGUAUCCUCAAUGUUAAGCCAUACUAGAGAUAUGCUUUUCAAAUAUUUUCCCCCAUUCUGUGCAUCACCUUUUUUACUCUGCUGAAAGUGCUGUUUGAUGCAAAAAAGUGUUUAAUUUUCAUGAGGUCCAAUAUAUCUAUUUUUUCUUUUGUUGCCUGUGCCUUGGGUGUUAUAUUCAAGAAAUCAUUGACAAAUCCAAUGAUAUGCUCUUCUACACUCUUAAAAAUUAUAGACAACCCCAAAUAACUUUUAUUUAGUGGUUUUAACAAUAUUUACCAUGUCUGAAAUAUGAUAAACAUUAAAAUUAGUAUUUUGGAAAAAUGCCAUAUUAGAAACUGAUGAUUUAAAAGUAACAACAAUGAAUCCAUUACAUGUGAACAUACUGUUUUUUUGUUUGUUUGUUUGUUUGUUUUGAGACGGAGUUUCACUCUUUUGCCCAGGCUGGAGUGCAGUGGUGCGAUUGCAGCUCACUGUAGUCUUCGCCUCCCAGGCUCAAGUGAUUCUCAUGCCUCAGCCUCCUGAGUAGCUGGGAUUACAGGUGCUCACCACCACACCCGGCUAAUUUUUGUAGAGAUGGGGUUUCACCGUAUUGGCCAGGCUGGUCUUGAACUCCAGACUUCAAGUGAUCCACCCACCUUGGCCUCCCAAAGUGCUGGGAUUACGGGCAUGAGCCACUGCACCAGGCCAACAUACUUUUUAUAAAAACAGCUGUCUUCUCUAAAACAACAAAAAAAUGUAGAUAAUAGUAGUAUCAUUUUAUAGUUUUGCAACUCUCUUUAAUGUUUGGCUUAAUAGAAGAUAGUUGGAUUCUCGUAUCUGUUUUUGUAUUCAGUCUGUUGUGUAUGUUGUUUUGAUUGAAGUAGAUGAAGGAAAUCCAGCUACAUACAGAUUUGGAGUUGGAAAAAAUAGUAUUUUAAUAACCUUUUUAGAUCAUGGUGGAUACUCUUCUUUGUUAUGUCAUCAAAAUUAGACAAAUGGCAGUUUCUGAAAAAUUAGUUGUAAUGUGUGUAAAAAAUUAGUUGAAUCCAUAUCAGUGAACUCAUACUUUUCUAUAUUAAACUUCAUUGCUCUAUCUUGCACUUUGAAUGGGUCUUUUAUUCAUGCCUGAUUUUGUAACAUCAUGCAUUCGUCAUUUUGAAAAUGAUGGUUCAGUGAAUUAUUCACAUCUUCUAAAUGUAGGCACAUUUCAGUCUAUAAUAUCAAAAACAUAUUUGUCAGUGUUACCACUGAUUUCAUCAGAAAAGUCUUGAGGUGUUAAGAAGUCUUUAGGUAUCUACCAGCAUGGAUACACAUUUUCCAAAAUUUUAAAUCUUCACUUGACAGCUCAAAUUUUACAGUUGGCAACAAAUACUGUCAGUUGUUUUCUAUGAGGUGACAGGUUCACUUAAUUCAUUUUUGAGAAAAUGUUUGCCAAAUACCCAAGUCUGAAUAAUCAUAGUUUGUUAGUCAUUUUUUUCCUAAUAAAAAUGAUGUUCUAUGAAAAAGCAAGUAGUCAGCUUGUAAUUCAAACAAUCAGGUAAGUGCUUCCAGUACUUAGGUAUUCAGCAGAAGUGCUUUGUGUACAGAGUAUUAAUAAGACAUGUAUUCAAGGGAUAAGUUUUAAUAAAAUUAAUAAUUAUUACUCUAUCAUGGACAUUUUUACAUUAAGUUUGCCUUUCUGUUGAACUGCAAGUACAUGGGGGUGAAGACUGUGACUCCUGGUGCAGUUUGGUGCCUCUUCAUUGACUUAAGGCUCUAGAAGGCACCAAAUACUGUUGCUUUUGCAUCAUCAGUGCAAAUGUCCGCAAAGUGAAUGCUGCAGAAAAACUCUUGGUAUUAUUAUAAAAAUGAUGUUGACCUUGGCCGGGCGCGGUGGCUCACGCCUGUAAUCCCAGCACUUUGGGAGGCCGAGGUGGGCGGAUCAUGAGGUUGGGAGAUUGAGACCAUUCUGGCGAACACGGUAAAACCCUGUCUCUACUAAAAAUACAAAAAAUUAGCCGGGCGUGGUGGCGGGUGCCUGUAGUCCCAGCUACUCGGGAGGCUGAGGCAGGAGCAUGGCAUGAACCCGGGAGGCGGAGCUUGCAGUGAGCCGAGAUUGCACUACUGCACUCCACCCUGGGCCACAGAGCGAGACUCAUCUCAAAAAAAAAAAAAAAUGAUGUUGAUCUCUUGGAUCCCCCGGGAAGGGUCUUGGGGACCCAGGAGUCCAGGGAUCAUAAUUUGAGAGCCAUGGCCUAUACGACCAUGGGUACUAAUAGCACAUGCCUCCAGCACCCUCCAUCAGCCUCCCUCGGCCUCAUUUUCCUCAGUUGUAAAGGGAGGCCUGGGCAGGCUCUGUUUCUUCACACUGUUGGACCCUGUUUGCUAGCCCCCGAAGCUGCUUCUCCCUUAGCGGUGAUGCUGCUUUCAGCUCCUGCUUUUCCUCCCUCUCUCAUGCCUCCCUUUCUCUCCGUGGCUCCUCUUCCCCUCACUCUUUACAGGUUGGCAUUCUUCUUGUUUCGUCUCCUCCUCCUUUCCCUGGAUGAUCUUAUUUCCUCCCUGGUCUUUAACCAUCACCUGCAGGCUGACAGCUCCCAAAUCUCUAUCUUCAAUCCAGAUGUCUGUCCCGGGCUCCAGUUUUGUGGUUCCACCUGAGACCUUUCCACCUAUAUGCUUUACAGGUCACAGAAUUUUCCACACUCCUUGACAGAGGUGCUUAACCCUUAUCCAUCAGCAUUCUCAGACAGCACCUCCGGUUAGGGACAGUAUCUGACCGUCCGACAUCCCUGCAGCCCCCAUGUGUCACACAGACUCAGCCUCAGGUAGAUGGUUUCCGUAGAUGGUGGCUUUCUUUGGACCCUUGACAUCAACCAGUUACUAUUUGGUAAGAACUUAAGUCAUUCCAGUGCCUCUCUCAGAAGCAUUUGCAUUUAGAAUUUCAGGUGUCAUAGAAGUAAUGAAAGACGUUGCAUUCCUGAAGGAAUGAAUAAAUUAUUCAUUUUGUUGUUCUGGA